AAAAUCCACACAUCAGCACGGA
RNAcentral lists this microRNA (22 nucleotides) under Gadus morhua (Atlantic cod). RNAcentral's name for it is "gmo-miR-11930-5p". Lineage: Eukaryota; Metazoa; Chordata; Actinopteri; Gadiformes; Gadidae. The record is from miRBase by way of RNAcentral.